Coffea arabica (coffee) is the source of this 501-nucleotide non-coding RNA. Lineage: Eukaryota; Viridiplantae; Streptophyta; Magnoliopsida; Gentianales; Rubiaceae. The record is from RefSeq and is a predicted model, not a curated record.
UUCAUGUGAAUGCUGACAACAUGCCAGCUCAAGAGCUUUACAGAAAAACUGGCUUUAAGAUUGUUGAGGCUGCUUCGUCUCCUCUCUCGAAAGAUCAGAGGCUGCUGAUGUCCAUGGAACUCUGAGCUGUGACAUUAUGUUGCAUCAUUUCCUUAAGACUGUGAAGUUGUAGCAGUAAGUACUUCGGACGCAAAAGUUGAUGCCAACAGCCUGUUGGUUUUUUAAGGCAUAUUUGGUUGGCGUGAUUCAGUUACAAGAUUAUAGGGAAGCAAUGUAUACCAUAUCUGAUGUAAAUUUCUACGUCUUGAAUUAGAGGCUGCUUUUAUUCCUCUGUCAAAGAUCAGAGGCCUCUAAUGUUCAAUUGUGAUCUGAAGUUUCUCAUCAAGAAAUGAAGAUAAUUACAGCAGGUUUGUGUAAUCUGUAACAUAUGUUAAAAUCCCCAGUAUCUUGUUGGUUUUCUGCAUAAUAUUUGAUCCAGUGUGCUGUUGGUUUUCUGCAUAA